Molecule: ribosomal RNA, 305 nt
Filed under: uncultured bacterium
Lineage: Bacteria
Description: bacterial SSU rRNA
Rfam family: Bacterial small subunit ribosomal RNA
Source: RNAcentral
GCCUACGGGGGGCAGCAGUGGGGGAUAUUGCACAAUGGGGGGAACCCUGAUGCAGCGACGCCGCGUGGGUGAAGAAGCGCCUCGGCGCGUAAAGCCCUGUCAGCAGGGAAGAAAAUGACGGUACCUGAAGAAGAAGCACCGGCUAACUACGUGCCAGCAGCCGCGGUAAUACGUAGGGUGCAAGCGUUAUCCGGAUUUACUGGGUGUAAGGGCGAGUAGACGGCGUUGCAAGUCAGAUGUGAAAGGCUAGGGCUCAACCUUAGGAGAGCAUCUGAAACUGUAAUGCUAGAGGGCAGGAGAGGUAA